This 524-nucleotide long non-coding RNA is filed under the name Populus trichocarpa (black cottonwood). Its description in RNAcentral is "long non-coding RNA (PTRI_LNC003104)". Lineage: Eukaryota; Viridiplantae; Streptophyta; Magnoliopsida; Malpighiales; Salicaceae. The record is from RNAcentral.
CUGCCGCAGCUGCCGCAGCUGCCGCUGGAGCUGCAGCGGAAGCAGCUGCAGCUGAGUUUUGGUUUGGAAUCUAACUUGCUUUAGCUUGAAGAUCAUCGUCAGUUUUCCAUGGAUCUAAUUUCUUAUCAGCCCUUGAUUUUCUUUUUCCUUGUUAAUUGCCAUCAAAGUACAGUGAGUAGUGAUUGCAAGACAUCAUGUGAUCUUCCUUCUUGUUUGCAUGUUCAUCAAAGCAGCCAACACGAGGGAAAAAACAUAGCAAGGAUUUUCAUCAUGCUAGGACAGGUCCUUGUUUUUGCACAUGGUUUUGGUUUGGGGUAAUAUAUUUAUUUUGGCGUCUCGGUGUUUCUGUGACCGUAGAUCCCAAGAGGUUUUUCCAGCUACUAAUUUCUUAUUAGCUCUUCUUAUAAGGUUUGAUAGGUGGUAAGAGAAAAUAAAGUCCCUAAUAAAUGCUAAAAAGUCAUAACAAAACUCUUAAUUAAUACUAAAAAUCUUGUUAAUUUGAAUGAAGGAAAAAUGGAUUUGGG